AUUGAACGCUGGCGGCAUGCUUUACACAUGCAAGUCGAACGGUAACAGGCCGCAAGGUGCUGACGAGUGGCGAACGGGUGAGUAAUGCAUCGGAACGUGCCCAGUCGUGGGGGAUAACUACUCGAAAGAGUAGCUAAUACCGCAUACGAUCUAUGGAUGAAAGCGGGGGACCGUAAGGCCUCGCGCGAUUGGAGCGGCCGAUGUCAGAUUAGGUAGUUGGUGGGGUAAAGGCUCACCAAGCCAACGAUCUGUAGCUGGUCUGAGAGGACGACCAGCCACACUGGGACUGAGACACGGCCCAGACUCCUACGGGAGGCAGCAGUGGGGAAUUUUGGACAAUGGGCGCAAGUCUGAUCCAGCAAUGCCGCGUGCAGGAAGAAGGCCUUCGGGUUGUAAACUGCUUUUGUACGGAACGAAACGGCUCUGGUUAAUACCCGGGGCUAAUGACGGUACCGUAAGAAUAAGCACCGGCUAACUACGUG
Molecule: ribosomal RNA, 482 nt
Filed under: uncultured bacterium
Lineage: Bacteria
Description: partial 16S ribosomal RNA
Rfam family: Bacterial small subunit ribosomal RNA
Source: RNAcentral